Molecule: ribosomal RNA, 286 nt
Filed under: uncultured bacterium
Lineage: Bacteria
Description: partial 16S ribosomal RNA
Rfam family: Bacterial small subunit ribosomal RNA
Source: RNAcentral
GAUGAACGCUAGCGGCAGGCCUAAUACAUGCAAGUCGGACGGGAUAGGAGAGCUUGCUUUCCUUGAGAGUGGCGCACGGGUGCGUAACACGUAUGUAACCUACCUUUAUCAGGGGGAUAGCCUCUCGAAAGAGAGAUUAAGCCCGCAUAACAUGGAGAUAUAGCAUUAUAACUCCAUCAAAUAUUUAUAGGAUAAAGAUGGGCAUGCGGAACAUUAGCUAGUUGGUAAGGUAACGGCUUACCAAGGCUACGAUGCUUAGGGGAUCUGAGAGGAUGACCCCCACACU